RNAcentral lists this unclassified non-coding RNA (344 nucleotides) under soil metagenome. Its description in RNAcentral is "partial contains 5.8S ribosomal RNA, internal transcribed spacer 2, and large subunit ribosomal RNA". The stretch from base 1 to 119 matches the Rfam family "5.8S ribosomal RNA", at positions 35 to 154 of the family's 154-position model. The record is from RNAcentral.
GAUGAAGAACGUAGCGAAAUGCGAUACGUAAUGUGAAUUGCAAAUUCAGUGAAUCAUCGAGUCUUUGAACGCACAUUGCGCCCCCUGGUAUUCCGGGGGGCAUGCCUGUCCGAGCGUCAUUGCUGCCCUCAAGCACGGCUUGUGUGUUGGGCCCCGUCCUCCGAUCCCGGGGGACGGGCCCGAAAGGCAGCGGCGGCACCGCGUCCGGUCCUCGAGCGUAUGGGCUUUGUCACCCGCUCUGUAGGCCCGGCCGGCGCUUGCCGAUCAACCCAAAUUUUUAUCCAGGUUGACCUCGGAUCAGGUAGGGAUACCCGCUGAACUUAAGCAUAUCAAUAAGCGGAGGA